This 3231-nucleotide ribosomal RNA is filed under the name Triticum aestivum (bread wheat). Its description in RNAcentral is "partial small subunit ribosomal RNA". Lineage: Eukaryota; Viridiplantae; Streptophyta; Magnoliopsida; Poales; Poaceae. The record is from RNAcentral.
GUUUUUGUUUGUUCUCGAGAGAUGUGUACACCACACCACUGAUAUGUUUCGACGGUGCGUCGCGUCCCGCAGGCAGAAGCGCCUGACGUUUGUUUGAAGAGGGAGCUGCUUCGUCAACUGAGAGGACCAGAGAGAGGGUACCGACCCGUGCGGGUACGAGCGAAGGAGGACCGUACGAAGCGGCGGAGCUAGGACAACUGCCGCGUCCGCGUCGGCUGGUGCGGCUGCCUCCAGUUCCACCCCAAGUAGCAGCUGCGGCCGAGCGGUCAGCCGUUCUAGCGGUGCUGGUGUUAGGGGUACCGGGACCUCCUGAAGAUGCGGCGGAUGGGGUUGAGGAGGCAGGCCCAAGCCUAGCACGGCGUACUGAGGCCGCCUCUGCAGCAGCGGCGACGCAGGCGGCGCAACGUCGACUACUGCCAGGUCCCUCGCGCACGGUAGGAGCCGGGCGUCAGCAGGCAGCUCAGCCGGAAGCAGCGGCUGGAGCGGUGCGUCCGCCUCCAGGGGCAGCACAGGAAGAGCCGGUGCUCGGGCAGCCACAGCGGACCGUGCCGCUCCAAGAAGCGGGCACGGCGCGACUCGCUGCGCAGCGUCCGGCUGCGGUAGCGGCGCGAGCGGUGCGUGAAGCCCACCGCGGCGCAGCACGGGUAGAUGGUCCUGCUGCUGAUGCCGCGGCGGAAGCACGGGAAGGAGCAGCUGCGGGAGUGGCGGCUCGCGCGGCUCCAGGGGAUGGCGACGCGCGAGGGCCGGCGCCGCAACGUGCUGCGGUAGCGGCGCCGCGACGAUGCGUACCUCAGGCUCGUCUGCGCGCAGAAACACGACGUGUGCGCGGGGCUCGAGCGCUUCUUUCACAAGCGGCGGCGGCACCUUUGGCCGUACUACCGGCUCCCGAUGCACACCCAGUAGUGGCUGCCCGAGUGCCCGGAGGAGCCGAGCCAGCUGGGCGGCGUCCCGCAGUAGCCCGACUGCGGGAUGCACGGUGUGUGCUGCGCCGACGCGCUGCAGUUCUUUGCUACCCGCGUGGCCAUGUACGCGCUGGUGGCCCUGCGGCUCGGCCGCGUUCGGCACUACCCGACGAUGCGAGACACCCGCAUGCUGCGGCGCACCCGGCAGCGCAGGCGUCGUCCCGCUGAGUCGAGGCCGCUGAAUAGCAGCGGUGGCCCCGAGCAUCCGCCGUUCCCGCCGGGCUGGCUGUAGCGGCCCGAGCCGUUCAGUUCUAGUCCGGAGUUGAAGGAGGCUCGAUAGUUGUCGUGCUUUAAGCUGCCGGAGCCUCCGUUCAAGCUCGAGCAGUUGCCGCUCGAGCGGCACGGCCGGAAGGUCCACCACUUGUAGUACCUGUUGCCUUCUCUCUCCUAGUAGCCCAAGACCUGCGGAGCCGUGCCCGACUCGGCCGUCCACCUGUCGCCAAGGUUGCUCAGCUCGCCGCUCGAGGCCGGCCACUAGACCGGCCCUCUAAGCUGCCAGGCCGGUUGCCCCACCCACGUCGGCUGCUCGCCCGCCUUCGACGCCCACCGCCACGGCCCCUUGCACAGCCUGUCGAUGUUCGGCUAGCACGCCGACCUCCACCUAGGCCGCUGCUUGGUCUGCUGCCGGUCGCCCAAGCACUAGCUCCACAAGCUCCGCCGCCACGCCGACGACGGGAUGCGGGACGGCAAGCUCAUGCACUUCCGCCGCAGGUACGGGAUGCUGCUGGAACAGGUCCGCCAACCGUUACCCUGCAAGCUGCGCCGCCACCGUCUGUAGUGGUACUGCCGCUUGGCCAGCUUGAUGCACCUGAAGUGCGACGGAAUGCGCCCCUGCCGGUAACGGUACAACCACGCCCACGCGCUGGUCGCCUCGUUGUUCGCCUGCACCCAGAAGGAAUUCGGCGAGGCGAUGCUGGAGACCAAGCAAUCGCGGCGGAAGAAGGAGAAGUGGCCGAAGCACCAGACCCGGUAGCUCGUGGCGCGGUUGGCGCUCAAGGCGCCCGGCCGGAGGAUGGUCCAGCCGUGCGAGGAGAUGAAGCCGAAGAGGUGGGAGCAGAAGCGGGUGUCCCUCUGCGAGUUCUCGUUGGAGAGGUCCAAGCACCACGAGCACACCCAGAAGCAGCACGAGUAGGACGUCAGGUCGAUGUGCCGCUCGGAGUGCAGGUACGAGUGCCACGGCGUCGACCUCGGCCGGCACCGGCUAAUGCCGCUCGACGUCGCCCCGUGCCUCUACCAGCCCCAGUACUUGUUGAGGAAGCACGAGUCCCGGUACUGCCGCAGCCCCAAGGGCGUCCCUUCCGAGCACGCCAUGGGCUUGAGCGUCUGGUAGGUGCUUACGGACGAGUUGCCGUCGUAACCGCGGCAGCACUUGCUCUGCGGGAUGGAGUCCUAGAAGGAGUUCUGGAUGGCGCUGUUGAAGUGGUACUGCCCCGGCGAGUUGUCCUGGCCGCCCAAGCCCAAGCGGAAGGGGUUCCCCAGCGGCAUGCACUGCCUGGACAGCGUCCGGUAGGACUUCGAGUGGCUUUCGCUACUCUACUUGUACUAGCUCGCGUUCACCAAGCCGCUGGGGUUGCUACUACCACGAUGUGUCCUGCCGCCCGGCAAGUGUAGGUUGUCGGAGUCGAAGUCGUCGAAGACCCCGGACAAGGAGUAGUGGCCGCGGUGGAGUGAGGAGACGACGCAGCAGGUGGAGCGGUGGAAACAGCGCCGGUUGGCUGCCCUCGAGGGCGGCGUGAACAGGACCUUCCUGACCGAGAGCUCAAACAAGUUCGAGAAGCUGCUGUUCCUGGGGAGCAGCGUGUGGAAGUCCCAGUUCCUGCUGCCGCCGCGGCACAGACAGGCCUUGUUGUGCCAACGGAGGGGAGGAUAACGCGUGUCGCUCGAACCGUCGGGCGAGUCGCGCGGGAUGUGCUCGCUCACCAGCCCCUGCCGUUCGGGCCGUUGGCCACUCUAGCUCGAUCGGCGGCCAGCUGUCCUCUCCCUACUCCGCCGAGACUUAGGGCUGCCGAGACCUCUCUUACCGUCUCCGGGAAUUUGGAACCCACUAGUUGAUGCCGAGAGGCUCUGAGGCUGAACUAAGAGAACGUCGCUACUGCUACUGCUACUUAUCGAUCUAACUAACAUCACUGAUCACUCGUUACCUCUUAAUGACAUGUAACAUCUGUUCGUUGACAUUUAACAUUUUCAGCCUGUGGUUUUUUUUCUUCUGGCAUAAUGUUAGUCAGAACGAUUCAGACUCAGUCUUCAGAGUCAGCCACGAUAUAAGUAC